RNAcentral lists this ribosomal RNA (245 nucleotides) under uncultured bacterium. Its description in RNAcentral is "partial 16S ribosomal RNA". It matches the Rfam family "Bacterial small subunit ribosomal RNA", at positions 524 to 768 of the family's 1533-position model. The record is from RNAcentral.
UACGUAGGUGGCUAGCGUUAUCCGGAUUUACUGGGCGUAAAGAGGGUGCAGGCGGCUUGGCAAGUCGGAUGUAAAAUCUCUCGGCUUAACUGAGAGGGCGCGUUCGAUACUGCUGGGCUGGAGAGCAACAGAGGAAGGUAGAAUUCCCGGUGUAGUGGUGAAAUGCGUAGAUAUCGGGAGGAAUACCCGUGGCGUAGGCGGCCUUCUAGGUUGUUUCUGACGCUGAGGCCCUAAAGCGUGGGGAG